UAGGGAAUCUUCCACAAUGGACGAAAGUCUGAUGGAGCAACGCCGCGUGAGUGAAGAAGGGUUUCGGCUCGUAAAACUCUGUUGUUAAAGAAGAACAUAUCUGAGAGUAACUGUUCAGGUAUUGACGGUAUUAACCAGAAAGCCACGGCUAACUACGUGCCAC
This 163-nucleotide ribosomal RNA is filed under the name uncultured bacterium. RNAcentral describes it as "partial 16S rRNA". It matches the Rfam family "Bacterial small subunit ribosomal RNA", at positions 355 to 511 of the family's 1533-position model. The record is from RNAcentral.